Molecule: ribosomal RNA, 584 nt
Filed under: uncultured bacterium
Lineage: Bacteria
Description: bacterial SSU rRNA
Rfam family: Bacterial small subunit ribosomal RNA
Source: RNAcentral
CCUACGGGAGGCAGCAGUGGGGAAUUUUGGACAAUGGGCGCAAGCCUGAUCCAGCAAUGCCGCGUGAGUGAAGAAGGCCUUCGGGUUGUAAAGCUCUUUUGUCAGGGAAGAAACGGCUGAGGUUAAUACCUUUGGCUAAUGACGGUACCUGAAGAAUAAGCACCGGCUAACUACGUGCCAGCAGCCGCGGUAAUACGUAGGGUGCAAGCGUUAAUCGGAAUUACUGGGCGUAAAGCGUGCGCAGGCGGUUUUGUAAGUCUGACGUGAAAUCCCCGGGCUCAACCUGGGAAUUGCGUUGGAGACUGCAAGGCUGGAGUCUGGCAGAGGGGGGUAGAAUUCCACGUGUAGCAGUGAAAUGCGUAGAGAUGUGGAGGAACACCGAUGGCGAAGGCAGCCCCCUGGGUCAAGACUGACGCUCAUGCACGAAAGCGUGGGGAGCAAACAGGAUUAGAUACCCUGGUAGUCCACGCCCUAAACGAUGUCUACUAGUUGUCGGGUCUUAAUUGACUUGGUAACGCAGCUAACGCGUGAAGUAGACCGCCUGGGGAGUACGGUCGCAAGAUUAAAACUCAAAGGAAUUGACG